This is a long non-coding RNA of Salvia splendens (bonfire salvia), 2629 nucleotides long. RefSeq lists it as uncharacterized. The transcript is spliced from 3 exons. The record is from RefSeq and is a predicted model, not a curated record. Lineage: Eukaryota; Viridiplantae; Streptophyta; Magnoliopsida; Lamiales; Lamiaceae.
UUUAUUUUAUGCCAAAAUUUCCAAUUACCACUCUCUCCGACGCAGCUUCACUCGACGCCGCCGCGCCCUUCACUCUCCGAAGCUUCCGCCGCCGCGCCCAUACUUUCUCCUUUAAGCUCCAUGGACGUGAGAAUUGGAGCUUGAAGUUCAACACCCUCUACAUCAAUUUUGCGAAAUUAAGGUGACAAAUUGUUCUAACCCACUCGUGUUACCUAUUAUUCUUGAAUUUGAUACAACUCUUUGAUUUAUUGCUUUGGUUUUUGAUUGGGCCUCUAAUAGUAGGUAACUAAGUGUGAAUUAAUCAAAAGAAUGAAUUUUGACAAUGGCUGGGGAAGAAGUGCAAGAUUUCUUGUUUAUUUGAUACUGUUGGAAUAAGAUUUGGCCACAUGUUAUUGGGGGAUUUUGUUUUUAUCAUUGAAUUGUUAGUUUCUUUAUUUUAUCAUACUGUUUGGAAAGAAAAAGAUUAUGGUUGGAAAGAAAGACUAAUUAGAAACGAUAGAGAACGAAGGUCUUGUUCUGUUUCUGCUUAUGUUGUGUGUAUUUAUAAUCAUGAUUCUUAAUUGAUGAAGAAAUGUGAAUUAGUUGUUUUAUGAAUUCAUUUGGGGCGGUUCUUGGUAUAUUCUUUGGUUAAUAGUUGGGUUUUUUAGCAGAUUAUUUUCUUGAAAUUUUAUACUCCCAUGAUUAUUUUCUUGCUAUCCCAUGUUGUUACUGCUACAGCCUCUUGGAACCUAAAAACUUGCAUUUUAAAUUAGUGAAAUAAAAUACUAGCAAAGUAGACAAAAAUCAUACAUAAAAAUAGUCCUAAUACGUGUCUUGUUUGGUUGGGGCAACAUAGUUGCUCAAUUCCUCAAUAAGAGCAUUCAAACUAUUAUAAGAAGAUCCACCUUCUUCAACAGCCUUUGUCGCCAUUCCCUUAUAAUUCUGAGCUCUUCUUCUCAUCUCCGCCGCUCCUACACCCACCAUAACCUCCUCCACUGCCCUCGCCACCGCGUCCUGUUCCACUCCCUCGCUCUCCCUCAUCAUCCACUUUUUUAUUCCCAACAGAAACCCCAGUCCCCAAAACCUCUGUCACCAGCUUCUCAUUGAAAAACUGAUCUGCUAACACUGGCCACGUCACCAUCGGCACGCCCGCGCAAACCCCCUCCAGAAUUGAGUUCCACCCACAUUGCGUCACUAAAGCCCCCACCGCCGCAUGAUCGAGAAUCAUCACUUGAGGUGCCCACUCCCUUAUGAUCAGCCCUCUGUUCCCCACUCUCUCCUCGAAUCCUAGAGGCACCCAAUCCUCGUCGUCUUCUUGAGCUAAUAACUCUAAGGACACCAAAAGGUAAGACAAAUAGAUUGGAUAAGAGCUUGGAAUUGUGCAUCGAAUCCUUGAGUUCUACAUUUUUCUUCAUAUUAUCUUUUCACAUCUUGUUUACUUGUUCUCAUUUGUUUACUUACUUAUUAUAUGCUUUUAUUAGUUGUUAGAACAAACCAAAUUGUUUCUGACUGUUUAGAUAGUAGUUAAUUUUUGUUCGUGGUAGUUAAGUUGGUACAAAUUUGUGUCUGUGGGAUAUGAUACUCUUGUUUGCUAAUUGCUACACUAGCCUUGUACACUUACGAGUAUUACUUGUGUUAAAAUAAGUUGAGUCAGCUAGCAUCAAUUAUUUGGUUUAAGUCUAUAUGUUUGCAAUGAUAUCAGUCAUCUAUUAUAAUUUGCUAGUGGUAACCUGUGCGAUGCACAUAUAUUAUGUGUUUAUAUUUUUAUAAUUUGUGAAUUAUAUGUCCAACAUUGUAUAUAUAAUAUGUUAUAUGUCCGAAAAAUUCCAAAAGGUUGAGAUAAUGAGAAUCAAUCUGUCAUUAGGAACUAGCUUUUAGAACAUUACGAAAAGGGGAACGAGCGUGUUUAAUGAAAUACGCUUGACGGUGUCGCAUCACCAAAACACAUAAGGCUCUUGCAUAAACGUGUGUCUACCUCAAAUACAUAAAACCCCAUUUCCCUACCCCCUGCGCGCAAACAACUUCAUUUCACCACUCCAGCUCGUGAAAAUCAACAAGAAUCCGACUUCCAGCGGCUCAAGACUAUUUUUUUAGACGGAGGAAGUAUAUGUUUGUGUUUAGUUAUAUAUGUCUUUGUUUAUCUAGUAAAUGGAUAAAUUGUUGUUGUAGUUUAUUUGGAUGUCGUACGUGGAUUGCAAGUUGCCAAACUUGUGCCACGGCAUGAACAGUACUUGGAGUUGAUCAGUUACAUAUAUGGUGUGUUGGCUACUGUCGAGGCUCAUGUGCCUGAGUGUGUUGUGCGGCAAUUUGGAGGGACUCAUUUCAUUCCACAAAUGUGUGAUUGAGGUUUCGACGUGAAUCAGUUGUGGGGAUGAACACUGGUGCAUCAUCAUCAACGAUAGUUGUAACUUUUCAAAUGAACAUGUAAAAUAUUGGCAAGGCCAGAUCCAAAAAUAUUUCAAUUGAGAGCAGAGCGUUGAGCGUCAUUGAAAUCCUCUAACCAGAGUGCAACAUCCAAGGCAAAGGUGACAAUGACUACUCACGGGAACGGAACUGGUGGAACCGUUGGAGGCGAAUGAAAAAGCAUCCAGCCGCCGAAACUUUGAAAACUGACUCCGCCGGGCGGAACUACUUGCAGAGGCGGGCGCGC